AAAAUGAUGGUUUAAUCCCUUCCCUUACUA
Molecule: transfer RNA, 30 nt
Filed under: Elaenia martinica (Caribbean elaenia)
Lineage: Eukaryota; Metazoa; Chordata; Aves; Passeriformes; Tyrannidae
Also listed under: 1 other name
Description: partial tRNA-Met
Source: RNAcentral